UCCUACGGGAGGCAGCAGUGGGGAAUAUUGGACAAUGGGGGGAACCCUGAUCCAGCCAUGCCGCGUGUGUGAAGAAGGCCCUCGGGUUGUAAAGCACUUUCAGCGAGGAAGAACGCCUAGCGGUUAAUACCCGCUAGGAAAGACAUCACUCGCAGAAGAAGCACCGGCUAACUCCGUGCCAGCAGCCGCGGUAAUACGGAGGGUGCAAGCGUUAAUCGGAAUUACUGGGCGUAAAGCGCGCGUAGGUGGCUUGAUAAGCCGGUUGUGGAAGCCCCGGGCUCGACCUGGGAACGGCAUCCGGAACUGUCAAGCUAGAGUGCAGGAGAGGAAGGUAGAAUUCCCGGUGUAGCGGUGAAAUGCGUAGAGAUCGGGAGGAAUACCAGUGGCGAAGGCGGCCUUCUGGACUGACACUGACACUGAGGUGCGAAAGCGUGGGUAGCAAACAGGAUUAGAUACCCUGGUAGUCCACGCCGUAAACGAUGUCGACCAGCCGUUGGGUGCCUAGCGCACUUUGUGGCGAAGUUAACGCGAUAAGUCGACCGCCUGGGGAGUACGGCCGCAAGGUUAAAACUCAAAUGAAUUGACGG
RNAcentral lists this ribosomal RNA (587 nucleotides) under uncultured bacterium. RNAcentral's name for it is "bacterial SSU rRNA". It matches the Rfam family "Bacterial small subunit ribosomal RNA", at positions 337 to 916 of the family's 1533-position model. The record is from RNAcentral.